This is a long non-coding RNA of Heterocephalus glaber (naked mole-rat), 869 nucleotides long. NCBI's taxonomy places the organism in Eukaryota, Metazoa, Chordata, Mammalia, Rodentia, Bathyergidae. The record is from Ensembl.
GCGUGAGCGGCGGCGCGUCCCGGAGGCGUCCACGGCAGAAGAUGGAGUGGGAAAGCGGGUGUUUGUCUCGCUCUUUCGGGAGCCGGAGCAGACCGUCAGCCCGCAGCAGCUCGGGUUCCCGACGCGGAGCGCUCGCCUGCCUCGGCCGCCGCCAGAGCGGUCCGAAGACGCCCACACUGCCGCCACCGGCGCCAAGCUGGAGCGCGACGUCCGUGCCCGGACCUGCCCGGCCUCUCUUCCUCUGAUCUGUGGGACCAUGCGACAGAGAGGACCGGUCACUCACUUCGUUUCAAGGUGACUUGUGGGGUCCGGAGCCGUUUGCAUCUGUCUGCUGCAGUUUGGAAACAGAGUAACGGCCCAAGAGAAGCCCGGCAAACUUGUCCAAACCACACAGAACUUCAGGCCCUACAAACGCCAACUGGGCAUGGAGCACAGGAAGAGUUCUUCUCCCUCGAAAAUGCCUGACAUCCAUGAAGAGCUUUACAAUUUACAAAGCUAUGUGACAUCCACCAUCUCAUCUUUAGAUCAACAAUGUGAGCUCAGGGAUGCCACCCCCAGCAGUCAGUUCAGCUGCAGGGAAGAGAGAACCUCUCCAGCUAUCUUAAGAAGAGGAAAUUACCCCUAGAAAUGAGGUGCUUACAGAAUUCUUGAACAGACCCGAGAGAGGCAACCUCUAGACUCUCAAAACAACUGAACUGUUCACCAAGAUUGCUGCGCUCUCUGCCACUAGCAGGAAGCACGGCACUUUAGAGAAGCUGUUCUGCUUUUCCACUUCUUGUCUGUUGCCAAGACCAGCUGUCCCCUUUGGCUUUCCAGAACCAUGACAGGUGGGAUGGGAGAGGCCAGAGGAAAAAAGGCCAGGGUGUCUG